RNAcentral lists this transfer RNA (79 nucleotides) under Chlamydia trachomatis. RNAcentral describes it as "tRNA-Phe(gaa)". The record is from RNAcentral. Lineage: Bacteria; Pseudomonadati; Chlamydiota; Chlamydiia; Chlamydiales; Chlamydiaceae.
GGCCUUGUAGUUCAGUUUUGGUAAGAACAGCAGUCUGAAGAACUGCGAGUCGUCCGUUCGAGUCGGACCGAGGUCACCA